UGAGUAACCUGCCCUUAACUCUGGGAUAAGCCUGGGAAACUGGGUCUAAUACCGGAUAUGACUCCUCAUCGCAUGGGUGGGGGGUGGAAAGCUUUAUUGUGGUUUUGGAUGGACUCGCGGCCUAUCAGCUUGUUGGUGAGGUAACGGCUCACCAAGGCGACGGACGGGUAGCCGGCCUGAGAGGGCGAUCGGCCACACUGGGACUGAGACACGGCCCAGCUCCGUACGGGGAGCAG
RNAcentral lists this ribosomal RNA (236 nucleotides) under uncultured bacterium. Its description in RNAcentral is "partial 16S ribosomal RNA". It matches the Rfam family "Bacterial small subunit ribosomal RNA", at positions 118 to 351 of the family's 1533-position model. The record is from RNAcentral.